RNAcentral lists this ribosomal RNA (167 nucleotides) under Ostorhinchus moluccensis. Its description in RNAcentral is "partial small subunit ribosomal RNA". Lineage: Eukaryota; Metazoa; Chordata; Actinopteri; Kurtiformes; Apogonidae. The record is from RNAcentral.
CACCGCGGUUAUACGAGAGGCCCAAGUUGAUAAACACCGGCGUAAAGAGUGGUUAAUAGCCCCCCCCACUAAAGCCGAACGUCUCCAAAGUUGUACAACACAUUCGAAGAUAUGAAGACCUACCACGAAAGUGACUUUAUGACCUUGAACCCACGAAAACUAAGAAA